AAAUGAACAGGUGGUGCAUGGUUGUCGUCAGCUCGUGUCGUGAGAUGUUGGGUUAAGUCCCGCAACGAAGCGCAACCCUUUAUGACUAAGKUKSCMRSMRUUUAGUUGGGCACUCUAGUAAGACUGCCGGUGACAAACCGGAGGAAGGUGGGGAUGACGUCAAAUCAUCAUGCCCCUUAUGACCUGGGCUACACACGUGCUACAAUGGAUGGUACAACGAGUUGCGAGACCGCGAGGUCAAGCUAAUCUCUUAAAGCCAUUCUCAGUUCGGACUGUAGGCUGCAACUCGCCUACACGAAGUCGGAAUCGCUAGUAAUCGCGGAUCAGCACGCCGCGGUGAAUACGUUCCCGGGCCUUGUACACACCGCCCGUCACACCAUGAGAGUUUGUAACACCCGAAGCCGGUGGCGUAACCCUUUUAGGGAGCGAGCCGUCUAAGGUGGGACAAAUGAUUAGGGUGAAGUCGUAACAAGGUAGCCGUAGGAGAACCUGCGGCUGGAUCACCUCCUUUCU
RNAcentral lists this ribosomal RNA (513 nucleotides) under Lacticaseibacillus paracasei. Its description in RNAcentral is "bacterial SSU rRNA". It matches the Rfam family "Bacterial small subunit ribosomal RNA", at positions 1028 to 1533 of the family's 1533-position model. The record is from RNAcentral. Lineage: Bacteria; Bacillati; Bacillota; Bacilli; Lactobacillales; Lactobacillaceae.